GACGAACGCUGGCGGCGUGCUUAACACAUGCAAGUCGAACGGAAAGGCCCUGCUUUUGUGGGGUGCUCGAGUGGCGAACGGGUGAGUAACACGUGAGUAACCUGCCCUUGACUUUGGGAUAACUUCAGGAAACUGGGGCUAAUACCGGAUAGGAGCUCCUGCUGCACGGUGGGGGUUGGAAAGUUUCGGCGGUUGGGGAUGGACUCGCGGCUUAUCAGCUUGUUGGUGGGGUAGUGGCUUACCAAGGCUUUGACGGGUAGCCGGCCUGAGAGGGUGACCGGCCACAUUGGGACUGAGAUACGGCCCAGACUCCUACGGGAGGCAGCAGUGGGGAGUAUUGCACAAUGGGCGGAAGCCUGAUGCAGCGACGCCGCGUGCGGGAUGACGGCCUUCGGGUUGUAAACCGCUUUCGCCUGUGACGAAGCGUGAGUGACGGUAAUGGGUAAAGAAGCACCGGCUAACUACGUG
This 468-nucleotide ribosomal RNA is filed under the name uncultured bacterium. Its description in RNAcentral is "partial 16S ribosomal RNA". It matches the Rfam family "Bacterial small subunit ribosomal RNA", at positions 28 to 507 of the family's 1533-position model. The record is from RNAcentral.